CUGGUGCUCGAGUGGCGAACGGGUGAGUAACACGUGGGUGAUCUGCCUUGCACUCUGGGAUAAGCUUGGGAAACUGGGUCUAAUACCGGAUAUGAACUGCCUUUAGUGUGGUGGUUGGAAAGUUUUUUCGGUGCAAGAUGAGCUCGCGGCCUAUCAGCUUGUUGGUGGGGUAAUGGCCUACCAAGGCGUCGACGGGUAGCCGGCCUGAGAGGGUGUACGGCCACAUUGGGACUGAGAUACGGCCCAG
Molecule: ribosomal RNA, 247 nt
Filed under: uncultured bacterium
Lineage: Bacteria
Description: partial 16S ribosomal RNA
Rfam family: Bacterial small subunit ribosomal RNA
Source: RNAcentral